CAUGUCUAAGUAUAAGCAAUCAUACUGUGAAACUGCGAAUGGCUCAUUAUAUCAGUUAUCGUUUAUUUGAUAGUACCUUACUACAUGGAUAACCGUGGUAAUUCUAGAGCUAAUACAUGCUAAAAACCUCGACUUCGGAAGGGGUGUAUUUAUUAGAUAAAAAACCAAUGCCCUCUGGGCUUCUUGGUGAUUCAUAAUAACUUUACGAAUCGCAUGGCCUUGCGCCGGCGAUGGUUCAUUCAAAUUUCUGCCCUAUCAACUUUCGAUGGUAGGAUAGUGGCCUACCAUGGUUUCCACGGGUAACGGGGAAUUAGGGUUCUAUUCCGGAGAGGGAGCCUGAGAAACGGCUACCACAUCCAAGGAAGGCAGCAGGCGCGCAAAUUACCCAAUCCCGACACGGGGAGGUAGUGACAAUAAAUACUGAUGCAGGGCUCUUUUGGGUCUUGCAAUUGGAAUGAGUACAGUCUAAAUCCCUUAACGAGGAACAAUUGGAGGGCAAGUCUGGUGCCAGCAGCCGCGGUAAUUCCAGCUCCAAUAGCGUAUAUUAAAGUUGUUGCAGUUAAAAAGCUCGUAGUUGAACCUUGGGCCUGGCUGGUCGGUCCGCCUCACCGCGUGUACUGAUCCGGCCGGGCCUUUCCUCCUGGGGAAUCGCAUGCCCUUCACUGGGUGUGUCGGGGAACCAGGACUUUUACUUUGAAAAAAUUAGAGUGUUCAAAGCAGGCCUUUGCUCGAAUACAUUAGCAUGGAAUAAUAGAAUAGGACGUGUGGUUCUAUUUUGUUGGUUUCUAGGACCGCCGUAAUGAUUAAUAGGGAUAGUCGGGGGCAUCAGUAUUCAAUUGUCAGAGGUGAAAUUCUUGGAUUUAUUGAAGACUAACUACUGCGAAAGCAUUUGCCAAGGAUGUUUUCAUUAAUCAGUGAACGAAAGUUAGGGGAUCGAAGACGAUCAGAUACCGUCGUAGUCUUAACCAUAAACUAUGCCGACUAGGGAUCGGGCGAUGUUAUCUUUUGACUCGCUCGGCACCUUACGAGAAAUCAAAGUCUUUGGGU
Molecule: ribosomal RNA, 1047 nt
Filed under: Chaetomella sp.
Lineage: Eukaryota; Fungi; Ascomycota; Leotiomycetes; Chaetomellales; Chaetomellaceae
Description: SSU rRNA
Rfam family: Eukaryotic small subunit ribosomal RNA
Source: RNAcentral